GCAGUCGUGGCCUAGUGGAUAAGGUGAUUGACUGACGCCUGAUCAAAAGGCGCCGGUUCGAUCCCCAGCUCCACUGGG
Molecule: non-coding RNA, 78 nt
Organism: Danionella cerebrum
Lineage: Eukaryota; Metazoa; Chordata; Actinopteri; Cypriniformes; Danionidae
Source: the annotation of a GenBank genome assembly